CGGGAAAGGCUGGGACCCGGCAUCAGGGCAUACCUGUGGCCGCUGCGGCCUAAGCUCCAACUGGGCCAGGGUGCGGAGAGUCCAGGCUGCUUCCAGGGCGAGUUCUCCUGAUUGUGACAUCACAUUCAUCCCCUGGGCGAUGGAGCUUGUUACUGGGAAGGAAGACUCAGUUGGAGAAUAGCCAACAAGAUGUGUUACUGGGAGAAUCUCUUCAGGGACUCUGAGUGGAGGCAUCAGGGGUUAGAGCCUUGUGAACAGGGAACCUGUCCCCAACGCUUGGAAGGACCUGGGUUUCAGUGAUGACACAUGGGGUAUGAUGUAACCCGUUUCCAGGGGGAUGUUGACGAAGAUCUUAUCUGCCCUAUUUGCAGCGGAGUCUUGGAGCAACUGUACAGGCACCUCAUUGUGAGCAUGCUUUCUGCAAUGCCUGCAUCACCCAGUGGUUUUCUCAGCAACAGAAGUGUCCAGUGGACUGUAGUGUUGUGACGGUCGCCCAUCUGCGCCCAGUACUUCGUAUCAUGCGGAACAUAUUAUCAAAGCUGCAGAUUGUCUGUGACAAUGCUGUGUUUGGCUGUAGUGCUGUUGUCCAUCUUGACAACCUCAUGUCUCACCUCAGUGACUGUUAGCACAACCCGAAGCGGUCUGUGACCUGUGAACAGGGCUGUGGCCUGGAGAUGCCCAAAGAUGAGCUGCCAAACCAUAACUGCAUUAAGCACCUGCGCUCAGUGGUACAGCAGCAGCAGACACGCAUCGCAGAGCUGGAGAAGACAUCGGCUGAACACAAACACCAGCUGGCAGAGCAGAAGCAAGACAUCCAGCUGCUAAAGAAAUACAUGUGUGCAAUCUGCAGUGUCAACCCCAACCUUCAGAACCUGGAGGACACAAUUGAAUACAAUAAGAUCCUAGAGUGGGUGAACUCCCUUCAGCCAGCAAGAUUGACCCGCUGGGGAGGGAUGAUCUCGACUCCUGAGGCCGUGCUCCAGGCUGUAAUCAAGCGCUCCCUGGCGGAGAGUGGCUGUCCUGCUUCUAUUGUCAACGAGCUGAUUGAAAGACUGUAGCUGGCCCCAGGGUCUGGCCACACUAGAGACUAGACAGAUGAACCGACGCUACUAUGAGAACUACGUGGCCAAGCGCAUCCCUGGCAAGCAGGCUGUUGUCGUGAUGGCCUGUGAGAACCAGCAUAUGGGUGAUGACAUGGUGCAAGAGCCAGGCCUUGUCAUGAUAUUUGCGCAUGGCGUGGAAGAAAUAUAGAACUCGACUGGCUAUCAGGAAGAGAUGGAAAUCAGAGAAUCCCAUCAUUCCAGCAGCUGGGACCUGAGUCCUCCCCAUUAUCCUUAAUAUUGUGGCUUAUAGCUGAGCCACACAUCUCCCUGCUCUUCUGGCACUGAAGGGCUCUGGGGUACUUUGCUCAGCCUUUCGGGUGGGAAACCCAGAUUUCCUCCCCUUGCCAUAUUCCCCUAAAAUGUCUAUAAAUUAUCAGUUUGGGUGGGAAAGCCCCCACUUCCAUCCAUUUUCCUGCUUAGGGUCCCUGGUUCGAGAUAUUUUCAGAAAGCACAAAGAGAUUCAUUUUCUCUGGAGGAUGAGGGCAGAGUGAGGAAUCUCUAAUCGUCUGUCUCCUCCAAAACCAGGGAACCAGAGCAGGCAGGCCUGUUGACUCUAAGUAGCAGACAUCCUGAAGAAAUGGUAAGGGUGGCGCCAAAUCUCUAGAAAUAUGUAGUGAGGCCAAUAAUUGGCCAUCACUGAUGGCCCUUAGGGAAAGACUGGACCUCUGUGCCAAGCAGUAUCCUUGUUCAGCCCACCUUAAAGGUGCAGGUUCCCACCUGGUCUACCAGUAUGCAGGCUGGGAUAUUGAACAUUUCCAGAUGAGCUCUUCUUUCCUACAAGUUUUCAUAAUUAGAGAAUGCCAGGGUUUAGGGUAGGGGUUAGUCUGUUGGGGUUGAUGUGUUCAGCAAGAAGCUAUGUCUAGCUUUUGCUAAAAUUGGUCGGCACUGCCUCUUGUGGCAUGAGCCAUAAUUGUUCCAUAGACCCCUCUCUAGCCCUGUGACUAGAGUUAGUUAUUUUGAUAAUUUCCUUUUGCCAUUGUUUGUUUAUAUUCCGUAAACCCUACCUACUGCCCACUUUUUUUUUUUUUUUAAGAAUGGCCUGAUCAUGGCUAUCCCAGCCACAUUGUUGGCAAUUUAAUUUAUUUACUUCCUUUUUUUGUUUUUUUAAGAAAGGCAAAAAGAAAAUAAAUCAAACUU
Molecule: RNA transcript, 2240 nt
Organism: Cebus imitator (Panamanian white-faced capuchin)
Lineage: Eukaryota; Metazoa; Chordata; Mammalia; Primates; Cebidae
Gene name: E3 ubiquitin-protein ligase NRDP1-like
Exons: 1
Source: RefSeq, a predicted model, not a curated record